This 767-nucleotide ribosomal RNA is filed under the name fungal sp. RNAcentral describes it as "eukaryotic LSU rRNA". The stretch from base 476 to 767 matches the Rfam family "Eukaryotic large subunit ribosomal RNA", at positions 1 to 296 of the family's 3401-position model. The record is from RNAcentral. Lineage: Eukaryota; Fungi.
AUUACCGAGUUUACAACUCCCAAACCCCUGUGAACAUACCAAUUGUUGCCUCGGCGGAUCAGCCCGCUCCCGGUAAAACGGGACGGCCCGCCAGAGGACCCCUAAACUCUGUUUCUAUAUGUAACUUCUGAGUAAAACCAUAAAUAAAUCAAAACUUUCAACAACGGAUCUCUUGGUUCUGGCAUCGAUGAAGAACGCAGCAAAAUGCGAUAAGUAAUGUGAAUUGCAGAAUUCAGUGAAUCAUCGAAUCUUUGAACGCACAUUGCGCCCGCCAGUAUUCUGGCGGGCAUGCCUGUUCGAGCGUCAUUUCAACCCUCAAGCCCCCGGGUUUGGUGUUGGGGAUCGGCGAGCCCUUGCGGCAAGCCGGCCCCGAAAUCUAGUGGCGGUCUCGCUGCAGCUUCCAUUGCGUAGUAGUAAAACCCUCGCAACUGGUACGCGGCGCGGCCAAGCCGUUAAACCCCCAACUUCUGAAUGUUGACCUCGGAUCAGGUAGGAAUACCCGCUGAACUUAAGCAUAUCAAUAAGCGGAGGAAAAGAAACCAACAGGGAUUGCCCUAGUAACGGCGAGUGAAGCGGCAACAGCUCAAAUUUGAAAUCUGGCUCUCGGGCCCGAGUUGUAAUUUGUAGAGGAUACUUUUGAUGCGGUGCCUUCCGAGUUCCCUGGAACGGGACGCCAUAGAGGGUGAGAGCCCCGUCUGGUUGGAUGCCAAAUCUCUGUAAAGUUCCUUCGACGAGUCGAGUAGUUUGGGAAUGCUGCUCUAAAUGGG